Molecule: non-coding RNA, 1134 nt
Organism: Zonotrichia albicollis (white-throated sparrow)
Lineage: Eukaryota; Metazoa; Chordata; Aves; Passeriformes; Passerellidae
Source: RefSeq, a predicted model, not a curated record
UCUUCAGGUGAAAUUACAGGAGAUCAGUGAGCCUUGAAGGUCCUGCUCUUCUUGCCUGCUCCCAGCACACGGCCCCACUCCUGUGCUCAGCUGGGCACCUUUGUGAAACCAUUCCUGCAUAUUCAGCUGCAUAAGGGAGAUCCUUAUCUUCGGGUUACUGAGCUCAAUGGCUUCACAGAAGAUAUCCAACAAAGGACAGGAAAAAAAAAAUUCAACUUGGAAGGAAGAAAUGAAGGAACCAGAGAAGCAAAUUGUUUUGUCAGCUUAAUUUCUGAAGUAGAUGACUGCUCUGGAGGAUCAAACAAAUGGCAGAAGCAGAAAAAUAGGAAAGAGCAGGAAUCCACAGCUGAAGGAUGUUUACAUUCUGCCUUUUACAGCGCUGUGAAUAUGGAAUCUCAUCUGCACAGUAACUCUCAGUCUCCUUCCCACUGGCAGCAGAAAAGCAGCUGGCAGAGGCAGGAGCUGCCACAGCAGCAGAGCUGGGUCCUGGCACCACCACUGAUGCGAGUCAGCAGGCCUGGGCACGCCAAAGCAGCAACCCCCAGUCCUUCACUUGCCCCCAGUAAAGCUGGAGAUAAAAGAACAGCACAAAAAUGAUGACAGGAUUAAAUCUGCCCAAUUUUAAACACAUCAGUGCUAUCAGAAGCCACAGCAGCUGUAAAGUGGCCUGGACUUACAUUUCAGUGCUGUCAUUAACACACCCAAAUAUUUCAACGCCUUUCAAUGGAAAAUAAUUCAUUAAGGAAGCAAAGCUGUAAGAAAAGAGUGAAGGAGUCUUCAAAUCAACUAGAAGAUGGCAAUUAUAUAACUCUAUGAACUUCCUGAAGUAUUUCAGAUGUCAUUUUCAAAUAAACCACUCUAAAUAAAAUGAAGAAAUAUCUAGUAUUUGUUAUGAGAAUGAGUUGGAAAAUAUUUCUUGCUAUGUUUAAGACAGAAACAUCCUGAGUUUUUUUCAUAUACCAGAUAUCUUUUAGAGGAGAGACAAGAAAAUACACACAUUUUUUAAAUUAUUGAGAAGAUAAAUAUAACUCCCCAUAGAAGAAACUAGGUAUUAAAAAUUCUUUCACCACAACAAAUUCUGUGUUUGGCAUGAGUAAAAAAAAAUUCUUUAAUAUUACUCUACUGAACAAAAUG